Molecule: long non-coding RNA, 638 nt
Filed under: Medicago truncatula (barrel medic)
Lineage: Eukaryota; Viridiplantae; Streptophyta; Magnoliopsida; Fabales; Fabaceae
Description: lncRNA gene46183
Source: RNAcentral
CCUUCUCUUUGCUCUGCGCGUUUUGCCUCUUUUCUCUCUCGUCACUGGCUUGAACACCGACCACCUUGUUCUCUCCUCUCCCGCGACCUGAGUGGCCUCCCCUCCUUCUUCUAUUGCAAUCUGAUUUGUGGUCUGUCUUCUCUCCCCUCACCGUCUGUCUUAGGUCCUCCACCCCAUCACCAGAUCUACAACUUUCUAUGGCGAUGGAAGUAGAACUCCGCAGUGCAAUGAAAGCCGGUGAAGGAUGAACGACGGGUAGGAGUAGAAAGCUGUGUUGGUGGGAAAACGACGUGGUGAGGAGAGAGAGAGAGAGACAGAACACCAGUGAGAAAGAAGGGACACCGCUGAGAGAGAGGAGUGACGUUGGUAAGAGAGACGCCGAUGAUAAAGGAAAAUUCUGCGGUGGACGGUGGCCGGAGAUGAGACAGAGUUGCGCAAGGAGAGAGAAAGGUGAUAGUACAUAGAGAGAAAUAGGAUAAAAGAAAUAAGGGUUAAAUAUGUUUUUAGUCCCUAUAAAAUUUUCAACCAUUACUUUUGGUCCCUAUUUUUAAGUUAAUUUUUGUAUUUUUAAAUGAAAUUGUGCAUAAAUGUUAAGAAUAUUGUAAAAAAAAUUCCCAAAAAAAACUAUAAUUUUUUAG